AAUCUACCUCUAACUGAGGGAUAGCCCAGAGAAAUUUGGAUUAAUACCUCAUAGCAUUAUAAUAAGGCAUCUUUUUAUAAUUAAAACUCCGGUGGUUAGAGAUGAGUAUGCGUCCUAUUAGCUAGUUGGUAAGGUAACGGCUUACCAAGGCUACGAUAGGUAGGGGGCCUGAAAGGGUGAUCCCCCACACUGGUACUGAGACACGGACCAGACUCCUACGGGAGGCAGCAGUGAGGAAUAUUGCACAAUGGAGGAAACUCUGAUGCAGCCAUGCCGCGUGCAGGAUGAAUGCCCUAUGGGUUGUAAACUGCUUUUAUACAAGAAGAAACAUCAGUACGUGUACUGAUUUGACGGUAUUGUAUGAAUAAGCACCGGCUAACUCCGUGCCAGCAGCCGCGGUAAUACGGAGGGUGCAAGCGU
Molecule: ribosomal RNA, 420 nt
Filed under: uncultured bacterium
Lineage: Bacteria
Description: bacterial SSU rRNA
Rfam family: Bacterial small subunit ribosomal RNA
Source: RNAcentral